AGGAGGAGCAGCCAGAGAAGCCCUGGGCGGCAGCAGUCAGGAAAGCUGGGCUUUUCCUGCUCUGUGCCCUACUUUCUGGCUGCCCUUGGACAGGUCACGCCUGUCUCUGGGCUCCGUUUGUUUGCCUGAUGUCGUUCCCCCUUUCCAUCCUUGCCCCUGGGUAGAGUCCAGUCCCUAUCUGGCAACCAGCGUGACUUAGACACCACUUGGCUCCUGGCGGCGGCUGCCCAUCUCACCCAGAGAAGGACCCAGGUCCCUGGCAUUCACUCUAUGAUUGAUUGGACUUCUUGUCUGCCUCCCCCACACUUCCCCCUGUGGAAUGUGAGCUCCACAGGGCGAGGACCUCUGUAGACGCGCUACGUUCGCCUGGUGCAGGACAGAUGCGCAAUCACUCUGGAAGAGAAAACAUAGGUGCAUCUCUCCAUGGAGAGGACUAGGGUGCAGAGGAUGAGGUGCCAUCGAGCUCCUCCAAUUCUGAGCGAUUCUGGUUCUCUGCUCCGCCAGCUUUGGCAUCCAGCCCAGCAGCGUGAUGAGAGCCUGGAAGUGUCUUCUCCAGGCUCCGUGGCUCCCAGGCCUUGGAUGAUGGCCAGUGCUCCAACCAGCACAGAGAGUGCCUGCUCCCCACGACGCUCCCCACCCUAGGAAAGCUCCUAUUUAUUAACAGUCAUGGUGCCAAGAGAGCUUUCUGCCUGUGCCCAAGCCCCGAGUACCAUGGAGCUUCAAUCUUUUAUGAAACAGCUUUUCAUUUCUUCCUUCUCUACGAAGGGCUUUCACAAGCCACCGAGUGGUUCUUUGCCCAUCAAUUUUUAAUCUUGCUCAAGUUUUAUUUUCCACUUGACCAAUGCUCCGUUCAUAAAUAACACAUCAAAACUUUGCUCCAA
This is a long non-coding RNA of Marmota monax (woodchuck), 881 nucleotides long. RefSeq lists it as uncharacterized. The transcript has 3 exons. The record is from RefSeq and is a predicted model, not a curated record. Lineage: Eukaryota; Metazoa; Chordata; Mammalia; Rodentia; Sciuridae.